UUGUUAAAGAUGAUAGAAUACUUCUUUAAAAUAACAAGAAAAUGAAACGGUAUGCAUACAUUUUUUUUUUUAACACAAUAUCAAAUAUAUCAUACAACAGAACAUUUCAUGACCAUGACCAACCAUCCAUAGGAACUAUUCAAUGGUUUUAUUCAUACAAGCAAAAGUUCUAAAUAAAGUAGCAAGAUUAUUAUGUUCUUGCUACUUCCAUUACAAAGGAUUACAUUAAUAAUACAUAAUUAAGCACUAAUUAAUUAGUUCUGUGGCUCAGAUUCAGUGGCUAUUCCCAAGGCCAUGUAUUCUUCAUAGGUGCAGCAUUUGUGAUAUUUGCAUUUAUGGUAACAUCCUUUAUGAUAGCCACCCUUUUUAUAGCCACCUCCGCCAUAGUAAUGGUCAACAUCUACUUCUUUUUCCGCUGCAUCGAUGAAUUGAGAAUAUUAAAACUAGUGAAUAUGCAUUGACUGAUCUUUGAAUUGAAAUUUCUUUUACUAUACAUAUAUUUAUAUAAAUUUUUUUGUUUUAAUCUGAUAUGUUUAAGUUCGCAAGAUUCAAAGGAUAUUUUAAUAUGUUCUACACACAUUUAUAUAAAUUGGUUCUUUUUUUUUUUUUUUUCUUUGGAAUGAAUUCAAUUACAUAAAGAGAAUGAAAGAUGGUACUUACAGUUGGGAGUCUCAGUCAAGUUGGGAGUCUCAGAUUCAGUGGCUAUUCCCAAGGCCAUGUAUUCUUCAUAGGUGCAGCAUUUGUGAUAUUUGCAUUUAUGGUAACAUCCUCCUUUAUGAUAGCCACCCUUUUUAUAGCCACCGCCGCCAUAGUAAUGGUCAACGUCUACUUCUUUCUCCGCUGCAUCGAUGAAUUGAGAAUAUUAAAACUAAUGAAUAUACACUGUCUAAUCUUUGAAUUGAAAUUUCUCUUACUAUACAUAUAUCUAUAUAAAUUUUUAGUUUCAAUAUAAUAUAUUUAAGUUCGCAUGAUUCAAAGGAUAUUUUAAUAUGUUCUACACACCUUUAGUUUAGUUUAUAAGGAUUGAAAAGUUUAUGCUAUAUUCUUCAAAUUCAUGCAUAGCGAGUGAGACAUAAAAUGAAGCAUAAGGAAGGUAUAUCAAGUGUCAUGAUCAAGCUAGUGUUAGUAAAACAUUAGCUUAUCGUCUAACAUUCAUAAAACCUUACAAAUUUUAAUUCAUGGUCUAAUUUUAUAUGCUGGACAUAUCUUUAAUAUGUUACUUUUUUUUUUAUUUAAAGUUAAUUACCCAGAGAUUCGAUGGAAAGAGCAAUAAAAACGCAUAAAGUAAUGCGUAAAGAUAUGCUAAUAUGCCUACAUAGUAACAUCAAUAGUUUUUUUUUUUUUUCUUCGAAUGAAUUCAAUUACAUAAUGAAAGAUAUACUUACUGUUGGGAGUCUCACUCAACUCCCUAGCUACUACUUCGGAGCUUAUCAUUAAGAAAAUAGCCAAAAAUAGGCCUAGCAAUAGAAAUGUUUUGGAACCCAUUCUUUUUUUAUUCCAAAGCUUAGUACUUAUAAUAACUCAAAAUUGAGGGAUGAAGAAACUGAUACAUUCUUGGGCUCUAUUUAUAGGAAGAUUUAUGUGCAUAAAUAAUUGAAGAGAGAUGUAAAACUAGGAGGGGGAGGGACAUGUAUUGGGAUGCAAUUAUUGUUGUGGACCAAAGAAACUUAACAACUUGGUCUACAAGUGAGUUAAAAGAGAUUGUUGAAUUAACUUACUCAAAUUUUUUUUUAAAGUGACAACUCUAACAAGUUUUGUUGUUACUAUAGUAAAGUUGUAAGUAUAUUCUUAAUCUUAAUCAAAUAUUUUAAACUUGAGUUUUGCAUAUGAAGAUCAUUUGUUGACAGUGUUUUAUCAUCUGAAACUUUUUGGUGUGUAUUCCAAAUUUAAUUUAGAUCUAAUACAAAUAUAGUGAUAUAUGAAUACUAGACAUCGAAUGAAACAUAAAAUAAAGUAAAAAAACAAGUCAUCUACAAAGUGUAGGCGUUGCAAGAAAAGUUUUCACAAUGUUCCAACUAAGAAAAUAAAACAAAAAAGAAAAUGAAGAACCUAACGGAUAUUGUGAGUGAUUUUGUUGAAUAUUUUGUCAAUUUGAAUUAUGACAAACGCUUUAUUAGUCACGCAAAUAUUAUGACUUAAUAAGGGUGUGUUUUGCAUGAAGAAAAAUGUUUUUUCAUGAAAUACAUUUUCAUAGAAAAUAUUUUCUCGAAAUAUAAGUGAUUUUUUUAGUUAAUUUUUGAUAAGUAAGUAAAACUGUAAAAGAAUAUUAUAAUAUUAAGAACAUUUAAAUAAAUCUCGCAAUAAGAGGGUUGGAGAAUGAGGGUGAACGGGUAAAAUACUCAAGGGUUGUAGGUGUUGGAAAGCAAAAUUGAAGUAGAUAAAUUUAAUAUUUAAGUUUUAAAAUAUGAAUGUUUGAAAACUCUGUAAAAAUGCUAUAAGCUACUCUCUUCGUUUUAAAUUACUUAACCUCUUUGUACUUGACCCACCCUUUAAGACGCAAAACGAUUGAAGGUGUAUUUUUACCCUUAUAUCCUAAUAUUUAAGCAAUGAUUAUGGAGCAGAAGCCAAAAAUCAAUUUAUUUGAAAAAUUAGAUUUAUUAAACAAAAAUGACUAUGGAGUAGUACUAAAAGGGAGCAAGGAUCGUUUACAUUUAAAUGACUUUGGAAUUAAAUAAUUCUAUUUUUAAAAUUUUUAGAAAGUAUAAUGCUUAAUAGGGAUGAAAGUGAAAAAAGAAAUCUAAAAUAAUCUCAAUUUUAUAAACAUGAUAAGUAAUUUAAAAUAAAUAAAUAUAAAAAAUAGGCCAAAAAAUUUAAAAGAGAAAGAAUAUAAUAAUAUUAAUAUAAUAGAAAAAAUGCAUCUUAAGUUGUUAGUAAUUCAUCUGCAAUGAAACACCGUUAAAGUAGAUUUGGGUUGGUGGCCCAGAAAUUAAUGCACGUAGAAAAUUUCAAAGUCUUACUUAUCAACAGAGGCGGACGUAGAGUAGAAGCAAAAAUCCAUAUCUGUUAUUGUAAGACUUAAAAUUAUAUAGAGAAAUCGUUAAAAGUUAUAAAUAUUAAUAGGUAAGAACCAUAACUAAACCAAAGGAUAGCUUAGUGGCAAGAAAAGAGCCCUUAAAAAUCCACAAAUUCAAAAUUUUGAAUCCGCCUAUGCUUAUCAAUUGACUUAUCAAAGGCUCUUCCAUCUUGCUCUGCUGCCACAUCACUUAAUCUUCUCCAAAAAAAUAUUUUUCAUGAAAAAUAAUAUAAUUCCACCCAAUGACAAAUAUUAUUGGCAUAUAUAAGGUGUGUUCGUUAUGAUACUUUUUAAAAAAUAAUUUUUUAAAAUAAAACUAGAAAAAACAAAUUUUACUAACAAAACUUAUCUUCACCAACCCAUCCCCAUUCCCCAUCAAUCCAUAUUCCAUACCCCCACCGUCAUCUAGCACAUGGAUGGCACCACCUUCUUCUUAGGCGAAAGGUGGCUCAGUGCAUACUAUUUAUCAAAAAAUAAUGUGUUCUACUAAAAUUAAAGAUUAGUUAUUAUGAAUAUUUAUUUAAUUUUACAUAAUUAAAAAAGAUUUACACACACUUCAUUAAUAUAAUAUCCCUUGACUUACCUAUCGAACUCAAUAAAAUAAGUACCUACAUAUUUCUUUGAGAUCUAAUACAUCCAAUGUCAUAAUUCAUUCAAUAUUAAUAUAUAAUUAGAUAUAUAUUUUCGUAUUUAUUUUUAAAAAUUUGCCCAACUUGUAAGUUGUAGGACUACCUUAUCCUAAAAUAUCUAGAAGUAGUGGUGCAUACAUACUCUUUGAUAUAGUCAAUAUUUAGAGAAUUAAAUGACGAAUUCAAUGACUCUUUUAGUGUACGAUCAAGUUUAAAUAAGAGGGGACAAAUCUCUUCGAUUUGAUUAAAACUGGAGAAAAGUCUUCCAGAAAAGACCCAACAAUACAACAAUAAAAAUUCUUAUUUGUUUGGCCUAAUGCAUGGUAGAGUCAGAAUUUCUAGUAAAUGGAUUUUAAAAAUAAUUAACCAUGUUAAUAGGACUUUAAAAAUAAAUAGAUCAAAUUUGAUUUGAGUAAGUUAGACAAAGUUUCAACUUUACCUCAACAUGAAUAACAAAAUAUAGAAAGUUAAACUUUUUUAUUUUGAUCAUGCGGUCAAACAUACAAUCUUUAAAUUUUUUUUUAAAAUAAAUUACAUAUUUAGAAAUUACAUAAAAAGUAUAAUAAAUUACCAGAAUUGAAUUUUACGUUUAAGUUGUUUAUACAUUAACAUAAUAAACUAAUACUAAUUUUCUCUUAAUUUUAAGAAGAGAAGAUCUAAAAUAUUUUAAAUCAGUCAAAAUAGAUAAACAACAAACAAAAGUAUAAUUUUGUGAAAAAAAAAAAGUUAACCAUCAAAUUAAUAACCUGAAAAGUGAGAGAUAAGAGAAAUCAAAAGAGGGACAGAAUGUAAGAGAACAAGAAAGUAAUUAAGUAACUAGAAAUUUAAUCCCAAAGCUAAUAUAGAAGAUACAAAAAAAUGAUGUUAUUCAGACUCGAAUGCACGCUGAAUCAGAAAUUUUGCACCCUUCACCAUUGAACUAAGCUUUAGCCUUCUUUUCGAUGGUGGAAGGACCACGCUAGUCCUUUGAGUGUGUGGUGUGUAGUGGGUGCGUCUUAGUGUCUUCUUACUACGUGUCAAUGGGAUUCGGUGCUUAACAUAUAUACAAUAAAUCAAAAUUUUGAUUGUAUAUACACAGUGUAAUUUUUUGAAGAAGGGGGGUCGAUGAACCCCUGGACUCCAUGUAGAUCCGACAUUGCCUAAUAGAGUUUAUAUAUGUGUGUAUGUAUAUAUAUACACACACACUCAUAUACACACAUAUAUAUAUAUUGAUGGCAUAAAAUAUUCGUAUAUUAUUUAUUCAUCUUUAAAAUGUUUAUAAUUACUUUUUAGUAUUUAUGUUUUAGAGGAUGCACAGAAGACACAUAAAAUUUCAUAUUUUUAACACAAGUAUCUUAAUUCCUAAGUUGAUGAGGAAAAAAAAAAUGAGCAAGACAUAAGUCAACAGAGAUAUAUUUAGACUUAGAGGUCGUUUAAUAGAGUGUAUUAAAAUGUUAAUGCAUACAUUGGUUUAAUGUCUAUUAGUAGUACCUUGUUUGGUAUACCUUUUUAUCCUAUGUAUAACUAAUGCAAACAUUAGUUAUACACUCUAUUGUGUAUUAAGGUGUAUAUUACUAAUAACUCAAAAUUCAUGCAUUAACAUACUUAAAGACUCAAUUAUCCCUCAAAAAUUUUUUUGCAUCUUUUCCAACAUAUAUAUUGAGGGUAUUAUGUAAAAAAAAAAUUUUUUUUUAGAAAUUAUGUAAUUCAUGUUUUUUUAAUACAUCGAAGCAAACACUAUAUAAGAAAAAUAUAAAUAUAACUAAUACAAAUAUUAUUAAUACUAGCAUUACUAAUAUAUUAUAUUUUGUAUUAUUGUUAUACAUUUUACCAAACGAUCUCAUAGUGAUGGAGAGAGAAAUACUGUUUUGGAUCUUAUUGCUCCACGAUAUGAGAGAAUUUUCUAAAAGCUGACAUGAGCCACUAGUGCUUUUUUCUGCAUAAUACACAUAUAUUCUCACAUGCAAGUGUACAAGUAGGACCCAUAAGAGUGCAAGAGGAUUUAGCAUUCUUCAUACCAAACUUCUCAAGGAGCUCUUUGGUAUAUUUAUUUUGGCAAAGAAAGGUCCCCUCAGAUGACAGAUGUAUUUGCCAACUCAAAAUGAAUGUUGAUUUUUCUAUUAGAAUUUCCUUGCAUUAGAACAAAAUUUUUUUGCAUAAGACAAUAUUAUUACUUCCAAAGAUAACAUCAUAGAUCUGAAUAAUUAAGUUUUCAGAGGAAAUUCUUAUGAUAAAAGGAGUUGUAUUAAUUUCUUUUUUUAAAAAAAUAAAAUUGCGAUAAAGAAAUUGAUCUAUUUAUCAUAUCAAGCUCGAGAAGCUUGUUUUUAAAUCACAGAGAAUUUUUUGAAAGUUUAAAAACAUGAUUGGAAACCUAUGAUUUUCAAAACCUGAGGUUUUUACAAAAACUUAAUAAACCCAUUUAAAAACAUCCAUUUAAACAAGAUUUGAAUAGAUUCUAACCUUGUAACUGUUGCAAAAGUUUUAUCAUAAUUGUCUCCCUCUUGUUGUGAGUAGCCUUGAGCUAUUAGACAAACUUUUUUCUCCCAUAACUUUAUCUGAUUCAUUCAUCUCAUUUGGUUAUAAUGAUUAAGGCAUUCUCUAGUCCACACAUUAUUUUUAUCAAUUUGCUCGAGCUCUUUUUUCAUUGUUUUGACCCAAUAAUCAUCUUUUGAAGUCGCAUUCACUUUCAUUAGAUCAAGUUGAGAUAUGAAGGCAAUAUUUGCAUGUCUUUAACUGGAAUCUCUUAUAAGCCAUUAUUUUGAUCAUCUUAAUUAAGUGAUCGAUCAUGUUCACUUUGGAAUUGCUCCAAGUUCAAUUUGAUGCUUUAGAGGCAGCAGUUAAGCAGACAAUAAACUUAGUAGUAGAGUCAACAACAUUUCCCCCCUAUUAUUAUGAACAAAGCAUUUGUAUGAAAGUGCACAAUGUUGGGCCUUUGGUUGUUUCAAAUUUUGUAAAGAGUUUUCUUAAAUAAAUCUGCUGAGGCAUUUAUUGCUUUGCCAUUGGAGCUAUCUGUAAAACAUACUUCAAAAUCAUUUUCUUCUUCAAAUAAGCUUUGUACCCUGUGAAUUGAAUUUCCACUUUCAAGCUUCCAUUUCCUAUUAGCUUUUGAGUGGAGUUCCUGCAAAAUAAUUAUAUUACUUAUUUCUAUGUACCCAAGUGUUCUUAGGUAUCCCAUGGUUAGUUAAAUGUGUUGACUCAAUUUUGAGUCUCCAAAUUCAUUUGCUAGAAUUUCUAGAUCGAAAUCUGCAAUUAUAGUAUUUGUAAUUCGGUUUACCACGGUGAUAAUAAGAAGUAAGUAUUGUUCAGUGACUGCAUAAUAGGUAUUAUAAUUGUGAGUAGUUCUUUUAAUCGAUCGACUCGAGUUUAUUGACCGUUGAGAUCCUUCAUAGCUAUAGAAUCUACUAUUACAAGUUCCAGUGUCACAUUUGUCAGUUGACUGCGUCAACUGAAUUGAUCUGACAAUACUAUGACUUGUAGAUUUCGAAAGUCAUUAAUUUUAAUUUUUAAAUCAUCAACUUCUUAAUAUAAAUAAUUUUUUUCGAUUUCAUAAACUUCAAGUUUAAGUUUUCAGUCUCUUCUCUCUCUUAAUAAAGCCCUUUUUCUCAUCAUGGGCUUUAUUUCGAUCCGCGCUGGCAAGAUCUAACAGAUUUUACAGUUUAGAACAUUCAUUAUAGGAAUUGGUUCUUACCUAACUAGACUUUUCAAUUUUCAUGAAAUAACAGUCUCCAAUACUAUUGUUAUCAUGGUCGACUUGUUCUUUAUCAUCUUAGCCUUUUGAUUUUUUUUUUUUUCAUGGACUCUACAUGAAUAGAUUUCAAUUUGUUUCAUAUUUCUUUAGUUGUUUACAGGUGGAUAUUUUCUCACAUUCUUUUCCACUAAGAGCACAACGAAGCAAGUAGAUUGCCCUAACAUUUGUUUGCACAAUAUCCAAAUGUUCUUUUGUGUAGUCAAAUGUGACGGUCUUUUUUUCAAAUUUCUUUUCAUUAUUUUUCAAAAUCUGCCUUGGCCCAUUUUGAAUAACUAGUCAUGCUUUAUAAUUUGUUGAUUGAACGUAAGUGUUCAUUUUUGUGUUUCACUGACUAUAGUAUAGACUGUUAAGGAAGGUUGAUUGGCUUAUUGAAAGUCCCUCUUGAAAUAUGACUUCAGUAAUUUGAUAUUCUGCCAUGAAUCUGUAUUCAUUUUUUGUUAAGCAAAAACGGAGAUGUGAGACGAGGCUUUGAUAUCAAUUGAAAGUAGUAAGACGAGGAAAGGGGUGAAUUACUCUUGUUUUGACCAAACAAUCGACUUCAUUCAACAAUUAGUCGACUAUUGAUUGUAGUAAUAAAGUGUUCAGGAAAUAAGGAGCUGAAGAUAAAAUUAAACUAGAUAUUUGAUACUAAUUGAGACCUCUAAUUGGGUUUUACUUCAAUCUCCUUGGAUUGCAAGGGAUUCUACUAGUUCUUUAUGAAUAAAAUCAAAGUACAAGAUUGAGUCAAGUUUUUUGACUUUGACUCACCCUCUCUUCUUUUCUUUCAUACUUCGAUACAAUGUCUCAUCAAAUAUGUGUUUCUCUCCUCGAUCUCUUUUUAAGUACACAGUAAACGUUUAAGAGAAUACAUUGCUUGAGUAAAGUAGAGCAAAGAACUAGAAAAAAUUGAGACAAGUGUAUAUCUCUUUCUUAGUUUUUCAUUGCUUAAAUAGUACUGAUUAGACUACUACUAAUCAUUGAAAAAUAUGAGGCAACCCAAGAAUUUUUUUCCUUGAAAAUAAGAUAAAAAAAUCUUAUUUUCAAGAAUAGAAUGAAUCAUAUUAAUGAUUCCAAACUAUCCAUAAUAUUAUUUCAUAGAACUAGUCACACGCUUAAUGAAAUAUCAUGUUGUGGUACUUCUUUUCAUAGUGAUGCGGAUUUGUGAUUACCCUUGAAAGAGGAUACAUGUUUCUUUUCCCUUUUUAAAUUGAUUCUUUGAAAAAAAAAUUAUUUGCAGCCAAUUUUCCUUUUUAAUUGUAGUGAAGAAUAUUUGAUACUAUUUUCAGAGAUCGGGCUUUCUGAUUUGUAGCCACUUUUUCUUUUUAUUGUACCCAAGAAUCUUUGACAUCAAUAUACCUGCAGAGGAAGUCAUAUAUUAAAACAUCAGAUUAUCACAAAUCUCCGAUACCCAACAUAUUAUUUCUAUAAUAUGAAUUUUCUUCUUGGGUACAAAAUUUUAGAACAAAAAUGUCUGAACAGAUCGAGCAACAAUGAAAUUAGCUAUCCUCAUUGUUAAUUUAAAGCUAAAUUACUUGUAAUUAAUUAACAAACUUUUCAAUGAUUUAUUGCUAAUCCUUAGUCAAGUAAGAUUAACAAUAAUGCAUUAGCGAAGAAUCUUGUUAUUUUGCUAUAAAUUAAUUUGUCCAUCUUUAUUUUCUAGUAAUGAUAUUCUAAUUUUAAUGUUGUCCAAUUUGUAAUCAUUCCCCCUAAUUAUCUUCUCUAUCAAUCGACGAUAUUGUUGCAACUGAACAAUUGAAACCAUUAAAACUCAAUGAGACACCAAUAUAUGCUUGGACGGAUGAUCACCUUGUCUAUGUCCUAUUUACACUUCAAAGAAAUAUAAUUAAUCACCUUGGGUGUGUUUGGUACGAAGGAAAACAUUUUCCAGAAAAUGUUUUCCAAUUUUGUUGUGUUUCGUUGGCUUAUAUGUUUUGAAAAAUAUUUUUCAAACCAACUUAUUGUUCUUAAAUCUAAGGAAAAUGACUUCCUUCAAAGAGUAAGGAAAACAUUUUCCAAAACUCUCAUUCAAUCUCACUUUAAAGUUGAAAUAUUCGUACAAUUCUCAAAAUCAUCUAACUCGCCCCCUUGCCUCUCCCCCAAUACCCUAUCACCCCGACACUACCCCUACCCCCACCCCCAAAAUUUCAUUAUUUUAAAAAGUAUUUCAAAAUUUUUUCUUAAUCCAUCCCUUACCUCCACCCCACCCCUCUUCCAAAAAACAAUAUCUACAUUUUACUAAAAAAUUCAAACUUUUCUCUUAUCCCCCUUCCCUCCCCCCACCAGCCUCUCUCCCAUCCCUCCAUCCCAUAACCUAAAGAAAAAAAUUAAAUUUAUUUUUAAAAAAAUUUCAAUUUUUUUCCUCCCCCUUCCCCCUUCCCCCUCACUCCCCUAUCCUGACCCCUAGCUCCAGGGACGGACCCACGUGUAAUUUUGGAGUGCUUCGACACCCACUAAAUUCGACGUAGAUUAGGUAUAAUUAUAUAAAAAAUACAGAAUAAAUGGUAUAAUUUAUUAAAAAGCACCCAGAGAACAAACAUAUGGUUAGGUGUUCCCCCUCCCCCUCCCCCUAAAUUCAAUUUUUUUUCUUAUCCCGCCCCUACUACCUAUUCUGACACCCCCACCCACUCACCAACCAAUCCCCUUCCCAAAAAAAGAUUUAAUUUUUUUAUUUUUUAUUUAAAAAGGAUUCUAAAAUGUAUUUUUACGCUUUAUCUAAACACUAAUAUGUAUUUUUUGAAAAAUAUUUUUUCAUUCACCAACCAAAUAUUAGAAAUUCUCCAACCAAACAUGAAAAAUAAGUAAGAAAUUAACUUGUUUUCCAAGAAAAUAUUUUCUAGAAAAACAUUUUCAAUGGAAAACAUUUUCCUUCGUACCAAACACACCCAAGUCUAAGUCCAUUCUAUACUUCAAAGCAUAUAUACUAAUUGCUUCCUAUGACAUAGUAUGAGAUUUGUAAAGACCUGACACCUGGAUUUAAUUUAAUCCUAUGAACACACCCAAGUCUAAGUCCAUUCUAUACUUCAAAGCAUAUAUACUAAUUGCUUCCUAUGACAUAGUAUGAGAUUUGUAAAGACCUGACACCUGGAUUUAAUUUAAUCCCAAAAGUUAGAUAAUGUGAGAGGAUUGUCUAAAUUCAUAUAAGCAAACCUUCAAUCCAUUUUUCAUUUAACGUGGGACUUUUACUCACUCAAACAUUCUUUUCAUGCCUAGGGCCCAACUGACACGUAGAUUGGGAGACCAAACUAGGAUGAACUUCACUCUGAUACCAUAUAAAAAUAUGACACCUGCACCUAACUCAACCACAAAGCUAGCUCAUGGGAAGAGGAUUGUCCAAAUCCAUAUGUGUUGGGUUCGAAAUCGAGAGGGCGUCAUGCGGAAGCUAUUAGUUGCAAACUAUGAGACGAUAAAUAAGAUGACAACGAAAAACAAUACUAAAAACAUAAUUUUAUUAUAUGAUUUGGCCAAUUGGCCUACAUAUAAAACCUAAUAUUAAAAAAUAUAAAACUGAGAAAAUCUCCCCCUAAACGAAAAUCUUAAAAGACUACAUUGUGGAUGCUAUUAUUGUGUUAUGGUAUGAGAAGGGAUUUUCUAUUUAUAGAUAUCCAAAACCUUUCCUCCAAGAAAGAGGCUAGGCAAAUAUGGAAAAGAAUUAUAUUGUUUCCUUUCGAGAAAAGUAAAAGUAAUUAUGGUAACUUUUAUUUUCCUUCUAAGAAAAAGUAAAACUUAAAUAUAGUAAGAAAAUCAGGGCAAAAACCCUAACAAGACUUUCACCCACUUAAUUAACAAGAUUGAUGUAACGACAGUUAUGAUUUAUUUACAAAUUUGUUCUAGAAAUUCAUACGUAUUAGAAUUUAUUCCAGAAAUAUCCCUCGGCAAUAAUAAUAACAUACUUAGAACAUUCCCCCUCACGUGCUGACUUAUUUUUUUGGUCAUGGGUCAAGCACAUGAAAAUUCUUUUUAAUAAUGGGUGGCAGUGAGAUUCGAUUCCAGGACCUCUGCCUGCUCUAAUACCAUGUUGAAGUUUGUAACCAUCUAAUUUAAAAGUUUAAGUUGUUAGAGAGAGCACACUUUUAUUAUUUAAUUAUAUUCUCACCAGAGAAAUUGUUUUUGAAGGACCCUUGGCUCAAGGAUACCAACUCCAAGUAAAAAAAAAAAAUAAUGAGUAAAAAACAUAUCGAUUAAUAAGUAAAGCAAUGCAAAGCCUGCCAAAAAACGAACAAUAACAACAACAUAAUGAAAAGAAAUAUUUAAUAAGUUAAAGAUGAUAUAAUAAAUACUUUAAAAUAAGAUGAAAAUGAAAAGUAAACUUUACGAAAACAUUUUUUUUUUCAACACAAUAUAAUAUAUAUCAUACAACAGAACAUUACAUGACCAUGACCAACCAUCCAUAGGAACUAUUGAAUGGCUUUAUUCAUACAAGCAAAAGUUCUAAAGUUGCAAGAUUUUUAGGGUUUUGCCACUUAUAUUACAAAGGAUUACAUUAAUAAUACAUAAUUAAGCACUAAUUAAUUAGUUCUGAGGCUCAGAUUCAGUGGCUAUUCCCAAGGCCAUAUAUUCCUCAUAGGUGCAGCAAUGGUGAUAUUUGCAUUUAUGGUAACAUCCUUUAUGUUUAUAUCCUCCACCCUUAUAAUAAUGGUCACCUCCAACACCAUCAACGUCUACUUCCUUCGCUGCUGCAUCGAUGAAUUGAGAAUAUUAAAACUUAUGCAUAUCUAUUGAUGACUGAUCUUUGAAUUGAAAUUUCUAUUUAUGUGUUGUACUUUUCAUUUAAUUUUGUUAUAGUUUUAAGAUAAUUUCUAUCAUGACUAUAUAUAUAUGUAAAUAAAUUUUUUGUUUCAAUCUGAUAUGUUUAAGAUCACAAGAUUCAAAGGAUAUUUUAGUAUGUUCUACACACUUUUAGUUUAGUUUGGAUUGAAAAGUUUAUGCUAUAUUCUUCAAAUUCAUGCAUAGUGACUGAGACAUAUAAAAUGAAGCAUAAGGAAGGUAAAUUAAGUGUCAUGAUCAAGCUAGUGUUAGUAAAACAUUAGGUUAUCAUCUAACAUUCAUAAAACCUUACAAAUUUUAGUUCAUGGUCUAAUUUUAUAUGCUGGACGUAUCUUUACUAUGUCACUUUUUUUAUUUAAAUUCAAUUACCCAGAUAUUCGAGGCAAAGAGCGAUGAAAACACAAAGUAAUGCGUAAAGAUAUGCUAAUAUAACACAGUAACAUCAAUUGUUUCUUGUUUUUUUUUUUUUUUCAAUGAAUUCAACUACAUAAAGAGAAAAUGAAAGAUGAUACUUACAGUUGGGAGUCUCAGAUUCAGUGGCUUUUCCCAUGGCCACAUAUUCUUCAUAGGUGCAGCAUUUAUGAUAUUUGCAUUUAUGGUAACAUCCUUUAUGAUAGCCACCCUUUUUAUAGCCACCUUUGCCACCAUAGUAAUGGUCAAGAUCUACUUCUUUCUCCGCUGCAUCGAUGAAUUGAGAAUAGUAAAUCUAAUGCAUAUGCACUGACUGAUCGUUGAAGUGAAAUUUCUCUUAUUAUAAAUUAUGGCUGUCAAGUGGGCCGGGCCAACCUGGCCCUACUCGGCCCACUUAAAUAAAUCAGCCCAGUAAGCCCUAUGGCUUUAGGGUUUCAGGUCCCGGGCCGGUUAUUUUUUUAAUUUGGGCCUGGUUAACCCGACUCGGACCUAGCUCGGUCCAGGCCCGUCGGUUAACCGACCCCGCCCAGCCCGGAGUCUUUUUAUUUUUUUAAAUAAUUAUUUUUUUGUAUAAAUUAGUAUAUAACUAUACAAAUAUAUAUUCUAAUGUGUGUGUGUGUAUAUAUAUAUAUAUAUUAUAAUAUAUUUCAUUUAAUGUAUUACAUAUACAUAGAGUAGAGUGUAUAUAUGUGAAUAGAUCUUCUAUAGAAGUGUAUAUUUAACGUAUACAUGUUUAUAUAUUUUAUAAAUUAGUGUAUAACUAUACAAAUAUAUAUUGUAAUGUAUAUAUAUUGUAGUAUAUCUCAUUUAAAGUAUUACAUAUACAUAGAAUAGAGUGUAUAUAUGUGAAUAGAUCUUCUAUAGACGUAUAUAUUUAACGUAUACAUGUGUAUAUAUAUAUAAUUAUAUAUGUAUAUAUUGUAGUAUAUUUUAUUUAAACUUUAAAGUUUAAAGUAGUACAUAUAUAUUUGGAUGGUGCGUAUAUAUGUGUAAUUGUGUAUAUGUGUAUAUAUUUUUUAAAUUUUAAUGUAGUAUAUACUAUAUAUAUAGUGUAUAUAUAUUGUUUAACGUAUUUGUAAUGUAUAUAGGUGGGUAUAUAUAAUGUAUAUUGAAAUUUUUUUAUUUUUGACCGGGUUUGAUCGAUUUUUUAAUCGGGUUUGACAGGGUUUAGGUGGGUUUGACCGGGUUGGGUUAAGUGGGUCCGGUUAGGGUGGUUUUUGAUUUUUUUACUGUUGGGCCCAGCCCAGACUGGCCCACUUAGACCCCAACCCGGAACGGCCCUCAACCCGGUUAAAUAACAUGGGCCGGUUCCGGGUUGGCCUGACCCGGCCCACUUGACAGCCAUACUAUAAAUAUAUUCAUAUAAAUUUUUAGUUUCAAUCUGGCAUGUUUAAGUUCACAUGAUUCAAAGGAUAUUUUAGCACGUUUUACACACUUUUAGUUUAUAUUCUUCAAAUUCAUGCAUAGUGACUGAGACGUAUAAAAUGAAGCAUAAGGAAGGUAAACUAAAUGUCAUGAUCAAGCUAGUGUUAGUAAAACAUUAGGUUAUCGUCUAACGUUCAUAAAAUCUUACAAAUUUUAGUUCAUGGUCUAAUUUUAUAUGCUGGGCGUAUUUUUAAUAUGUCACUUUUUUUUUUUAUUUAAAGUCAAUUACCCACAGAUUCUAGAGAAAAAGCAAUAAAAAUGCAUAAAGUAAAGCAUAAAGACAUGCUAAUACGCCUAACAUAGUAAAAUAAGUAAUGCCUAAAGAUAUGCUAAUAUGCCUUUCUUUUUUUUUUUUUCUUCGAAUGAAUUCAAUUACAUAAAAAGAUAAAUGAAAGAUAAUACUUACAGUUGGGAGUCUCACUCAACUCCCUAGCUAUUACUUCGGAGCUUAUCAUUAAGAAAAUAGCCAAAAAUAGGCCAAGCAAUAGAAAUGUUUUGGAACCCAUUCUUUUGUUUUUUUCAAAGCUUAGUACUUAUGAUAAUUGAAAAUUGAGGGAUGAAGAAACUGAUACAUUCUUGGGCUCUAUUUAUAGGAAGAUUUAUAUGCAUAAAUAAUUGAAGAGAGGUGUAAAACUAGGAGGUGGGAGGGACAUGUAUUGGGAUGCAAUUAUUGUUGUGGACCAAAGAAACUUAACAACUUGGGUCUACAAGUGAGAGUUAAAGUCUUAAAGAGAAUGCUAGAUUUAACUUAUUCCGUAAUUUUUAAAUAACAGCACUAACAAGUUUAGUUAUUAUGGUAGUGAAGUUGUAACAAUACUAUUUUAAUGAAAUAUUUAAGUUUAUGCUUUGCAUGUGAAGCCUCAUUUGUUAGGCAUUGUUUUAUUCUAUGAAACUUUUUGGCCUGCAUCAAAUUUAAUUUAAAUCUAAUACCAAUAUAUUAUACGCGAAAACUAGACAUCGAGUGGAAAAUAAAAUAAAAUGAAAAAGCAAGUCAUCCAAGCAAAAUGUAGAUGUUGCAAGUAUUUACAAUGUUCCAACAACAAAAAAAAUGAACCUAACGAAUAUUUUGCUGAAUAUUUUGGCAAUUGGAAUGUUGUUCGAUCUCGUGACAGAUUCAGAAUUAUGCCGAAUCCUUUUAUAGCCAAGUAUAUAUUAUGACUUAAUAAAAGUGCAUUUUGUAUGAAGAAAGAUGUUUUUCCAUGAAAUACAUUUUCUUAGAAAAUGUUUGCUUGAAAUAUAAGUGAUUUAUUUUAGGUUAGUUUUUGAUAAAUAAGUGAAGAAUGUUAUAAUCUCAAAAAUAUUUAAAUUUAAUUUCACGAUAAAAUGGGUUGGAGAAUGGGGGCGGAAGGGCUAAAAUACUCAAAAGAUAAAGGGUUGUGGAUGUUGGAAAUCUUCCUUUUGAAAUAAUCGAUCAGUUUUUUUUUUUUCAUUUUCCUAAAUUUCUUAUCUUGUUUUAAAUUAUAUUUUUCGUUCAUUUUUAUUUGUUAAUUGUUAUAGUUCAUUUUAUGAAAGUCAAUCAAAUGAAUUUCAAAGUUAAAUUAAAGUAGAUUAAUUUAUUAUUUUAAAUUAAAUUUAGAUAUUUAAAAAUUAUAUAAAAAUAUAAGUUACUAUAUAAUCCUUCUCAUUAGUAUUAUAUAUAAGAGACAAAUCAAGGAAUUUGGUAGUUCCCACAAAAAUUUUCAAUUAAAUUUCAAUCUUUUCAAUUAAUUACUUUUUUGUCAUGAUCUUAUCUUUGAAAUCAAAUUUACUUUUUGUCUUUAGAGUUUACUUUUAGAAGUUCUUUUACCUGAUCAUUUUGAACGUGUUUUUUAUUUUUCAAUUCUUUAUUUUCUGAAUUUAUAGACAUUCAUUGACAUGAAUUACUAUUCAGAAGCCAUGUUUAAUUCUUUAUGCAUAAAGUGGAUCAUCAUUUUUCUUUUAGAAAAAACCUGACUUAGUAAACAUAAACACCUAAUUAAUUUAUUCAGACUAAGUUUUAAUUAAUUAUAAUUCAUAGUCUAAUUUAACUGUACUGCAUCCUCUCCCUUGCUAAUACUCUCCUUCCAUCUCUCCCAAUCUCGUUGUAUAUCACUAUAUUUGUAUCAAUUAUAUUCGUUUCUUAUAAUCAGCUACAUAUGAUUGUAUUUUUAUAUUUUCUUGAAUUUAUAUUUAUAUGGUCCUAUAUUAUAUAUAGUUUAAUCACAACAUUUGUAUAUAAUAAAAUCAAAGUAUCAGAUUUUUGUUCAUUUUAUAUUUGCUAAUACAAAUACGAUGGAUGACAGUUUAUAUAAAUACAAUAGCUACACCGGCUACGACUUGUAAUUUUUUAAACCAUAGUUAUGCAUGCCUAAUUUUUCCUAUAUAUAUGCUGUUUUGAAAGUUUUCCUUUUUAAAAAAAAUAAAUUCUAUACGAACUUUUGUGAUUGAUUUAUAUAAUAACUGUUUAUGAAUCUCUUUAUACUCUUUAUUGAAUUAUUUUUUAAUUCUUCAUCUCAAAAUAUUUAAUAUUAUUUUUCACUUUUUGAGGAUCAACUUACAUAAAUUUUUAUCAAUAUUUUGAAAUUAUUUUCACUAUAUUAAUGGGAGAAUUGAUAUUUAUAAUACUUUUCAUAUAAUUUUUUAAUAUUUAAAUUUUAAUUUAAAAUAUUAUUUAAUCUAACUCAAUUUAACUUUAAAGAUUAUGCAAAUAUCUUUCAAAAAAACAUGCGGUGAGAUGAAAAAAGUAUAUUAUUUAAUCUUCAUCGAGUUGUAAAUAUUUUACAUGCUUCAAAGUUUAAAUCAUAUUAUUUUAUAAAAUAUUAAAUUACUUGUAUGUCGUUUUAGGAUAAUCCUUUCCCAUUGUUGAACUACCACAUGAAAAAAACUCAUCAAAUUAAGAAGAGUAUAUUAAGAAUCCAUUUACAAUUAAUCUUUUACCCCAAAAGCCAUAUGUUUCCUCAACUAUUAUAUAUACUUCCCCAAGGAAUUUUUCGCAAACAAUACUCCUAACUCACACCCCAAAAGCUAGCUCAUGAAAAAGAGGAUUGCUCAGCUCAAACCUAAUAAGGAGAGCAAGGACCUAUAAUCCCACCGAUGUGGGAUACCAACACACCCUCGGCACGCCCAAGAUUGGACAACUGGAAAAUAGACAAUAUAAAAUGGAGGGUCCAACAUUGGAAACAAAUGAAUUGGGUGGGCCUGGCUCUAAUACCAUGUUAAAAUUAGUCUUGAACCAAACUCACACCCUAAAAGCUAACUCAUGAGGAGAAGAAUUGCCUAUGCCUUAUAAGGUGGCCAAGAACGUUAUAACCCGCCGAUGUGGGACACCACCAAUAAUAAAUAUGUUGAUGUUGUUGUUAGUAGGUUUAAGUAUACUUAAGAGGGAGAGUGUAAAUCAUGAUCAAUUUUUUUUAUUAGAAAGAUCUCAUUACUUAUUUUAAGUGUCAUUAGCGUAAGGGGGAUUAAUUAAUUAAUAUGGUUUAAUUACGUCUCGACUUGUAAAACAAGAAAAAGACUUGUAUGAAACUGAAAAUUUUAAAUAUAUGUGUACAUGAAUUUCUUGUGUCAAAUAAAAUGUAUACUCCCUACGUCCCAAAUUAGCAGCUCCAAAUUGAGAUGACACAUUGAUUAAGAAAAAUAAUUAAUAAAAUGGCUAGUUUACUAUAAUACCCCUAUUAAAUGAUAUUUACAUUUUAAUUUGAAAAAAAAUAAUUACUGCAAAAGGUAAAAUAAGAAAAAAAUUUCUGUUAUUUCUUGAUUAAUGAAAAAAAAAGUAAAAUGAGAAAUUAAAUUAGAAAAUUUGAGACGGAGAAAGUAUUUUAUAUGCAUGAAUUUGUAGUGAGAGGCGCAUUUCUUCUACUAGUAUUAAUAUAAAAACAAAUACUCCUCCUGUUUCAUAUUAUUUGGCUCCUAUGAAUUUGACCCUCUCAUUAAGAAAAUAUUAAUUAAGAGGUUUAUUUUAUCAAAUUAGCUUUACUAAUUAUAUUUUGAAAAUAUAAAUUUGAGUAAAUACACUUUAUUUAGUCAUUUAAUGUUAAGGGUAGUAUUGGAAGAACAUAAUAAAAUUCUUUUGAUUUCAUCAAAGAAACAACUAAAUUAAAAUAAAUAUUUUUUAAAAAAAGGCCAACUAAAAUGAAACGGAAAAAUUAAUAGUAGGAUAUCUUAAAUUAUUAAUCAAACUUUAUUUAAUCCGUAAUCAAACACCGUCAAAAUAGAUUUCAAACCACGUGCAUGGGUUGGUGGCCCAGAAAUUAAUGCAUGUAGAAAAUGUCAAACGGUCACUUAUCAGUUUACUUAUCCAAGACUCUUCCAACUUGCCCUGCUGCCACGCAAAAGAAAAAAAUCAUUAAAAAUAUUAUCCUUCUUACCAAACAGAAAUUGUGGGGAUAUUGAGAAAAAAUGAGUUUUCUAAUAAAAAUAGAAAAUAGAUUGUAUAAAUAGAUUUUCAUAGUACAUAGCUUCUUUUAGUGGCGGAUCCAUGAAAAUCACACUUCAAACCAUUGCAUCUAAUCAUGUGUUUGUUCAUUAGGUGUAUUUUAAUAUUUUAUAUCAUUUAUUCUAUAUUUUUUAUAUAAUUACAUCUAAUCUACGUCUAGUUUAGUGAGCAUUGAAGUAUUCGAAAAAUACACAUGGAUCCGCCCCUGACUUCUUUUCACCUUUUGACAGACCUCAUCUUCACUCUCCGAACUUAACUCCAACCCCCCGCCACCCCCUUUCUCACCAAUCCAUACACUUACCGCACCCACUCCCUCAUCUCACUUAUGGACGAAGCCACCUUAGACAAAGAACAGUUUGGUACACACUAUAUAUUCAUCAAAAAUUUAUUAUGUUCAUAUUCUAAUGAGGUUAAAUGUUAAUUAUUAUGAAUGUACAAUUAAAAAAAACUUUAUAUACUCUUCAUCAAUAUAAUAUUUUCAAUUAUAUAUUGAGUUAAAAAAAAUAAGUGUGCGUAUAUUUCUUUCGGAUCCAAUACACCCAAUAUCAUAUACAAUCAAUGUUGAUAUAUAAUUAGAUAUGAAAAAAAAUACAAGUAGCAUAUUUAAGUAUUAAAUUAUAAAAAAUAGUAAUACUUUUAUUAAAUUAUAUUUUGUAGCAUAUUUAUUUAUAUUUUUGUAGCAAUAAUUUGCAAAAAUACAAAAUAUAUAUCGAUUAUAAGGGCAGUAAAAAUCACAUAUAUUUGUAUUUUUGUAGCAACAGUUUGCAAAAAUAUAAAAUACAACUUGAUAUAUUAUGUAAUUAUGAAACUAUUGCUAUGAAACUCAAAAUUAAGGGGAUAAGUAUGCUAUUUCUGAAUUUUUCCCAUUAGAUAUUGUACAUAUACUAAUAAGAAGGACAUGAACUAGCCAUUUUAAAAAAAAAUGGCCCAUGGUUUAAAAAUGUGGACAAUUGCAGCUGGUCGGUCCAAUUUAAUUUUCUUUUUUAGUCAUUUGGCCCAAUUGGGCACAUGCAGUCUCUAUACUCAAUUGAUACACUUUUAUACCACAUUGAGAUACUUUUAUACUAUAUUGAUACACUUUUUUAAAAAGAGAAAGGAAAUUCUAUGCAAGCACCUGCAGUCCCUAUACCCAAUUGAUACUCUUUUAUACCACAUUAAUAUACUUUUAUACUAAAUUGAUACACUUGCAGUGUCCAUAUACUCAAAUUGAUACUCUCUUAUACUAGAUUGAUACAUUUUUAGAAUGCAUGUCGAAACUAUCUAGAGAGAGUCGUAUAAAAUAUGUAUCUAAAUAAUAACUGUAGUUAAAAAUUGUAUAGAAUGUGUAUAAAAAUGCUAUAAUUAAUGUAUAGAAUAUGUAUAUAUAUAGAAACUGUAUCAUUAUUAUAUAUAAAUAUAUAUCUUUAACAAUUGUAUUAUAUUAAAAGUAUAUGGUAUUGUAUUUUAUUGUAUAAAUAAGUAAAACUAAACAAAACAAAUAGUAUAUUAUUUUAAUAAUGUUGGUGAAUGCAAACUAAUAUAAAAAAAAUUGUUUAAAAAGAAUAAAAAAGAGUAGAAUAAGAAAAGGAGCCAAAAAAAGCAUCAACAAAAAUUUUAAAAAAAGAAAAGAAAAGAAAAAGGAAGGUAAGAACUUGACCUAGAAAAAUUAAACCAGUGAAUAUCUAAACAUUGUCCACCAAAAGAAGGUUAGAAAUUGGGGUAUCUAUUUCUAAACCAUUCGGUUGGAAUUACUUUCCACCGAGUGGUUAUUUAUCGGAUUUUAAAAUUUAGGUGUUAAUUUUAUGAAAUUAUUUUAGUUUUAGGUGUUAUUUUUGUCCUUUUUCUUCUUUUUUUUAAAGAAAAAUUAGCCCAACUAAAAUUUACAUAUAUACACUAAAUAAAAUUGCUUUAUUACAUAAUAUACCAAUUUGGUAAAGUAUUUACACAUAUCCCAAAAUAUUUACAUAAAUUCCUUUAUUUUCAACUUUCUCUUUCUUAAACAUUAUACAUCUCUCAACAGAUUUUCUCUUCCGUAUUUUACUCCUCCAUAUCCUCCCACAACACCCGAUUUUUACUCCAUAAUUGAACCCCCUUAUUCUCGGCAAAAUUGAAGAAUCGUGUAUCUAGGGGUUUCAACUAGUAAGUUAGAAGAUUUUUCUUUUCUUUUUUUAACUUUUUCAAUUUUUGAAGUUGAUCGUAUAUUGGGAUUGUUGCAUGUUUGUUUUACCUUACUUUGCAAGUAUUUUCAAGUUUCGUAGUUCGAUUUUUAUGUUUUCUUCAUAUAAUACUCUUGGUUUGUAGCUUUUUUUUUUUUUUUUUAAAUUUACCUAUUUUUGUAUUUUUCAAUUUAUUUUAUGAAUGUAUGUUUGUUUAUAAGGAUUUACCACAUUUUUGCAAGUAUUUUUAAGUUUUGUAGUUGAUUCGGAUCGAAUGUAUUACUGAAAAAAAUUGGUAAUAGAUUCUUGUCCUAACUUUAGUUUAGGACUUAGUCAGUUAGAUUCUAAAAAACAAGAUAUACCCGUUGGGUUUGUUCCUGGUACAUUUGAUUUAGAAGAACCCAAUUUCACAGAGAAUCGUUCAAAGCAUCGAAACGAUCCGACAACAAUGAAGAGAUUGAAGGAAACGACCACUUCCAUAUCAAAGAAAUCAAGUUCAAAAACGGCCAGUAAGAAGAAGUUUGAUGAUUCCCGUAGACCACGUCUUUCGAAGAUAUUGAUUAAACAUUGUACUUUACUUACGUUGCAACAUUAUUGUCUAAUAUAGUGGAACAUAGAAUUUUGUGCAACACUAAUGUAUAAUAUUACUAAUAUGUUAUACAUUUCAUUUUUUUUAUACAUUGAAUAUUCUUAUUACAUAUUAGAAGCAUUUGGAACUGGGUGUGUUAUUAUACAUUUAUGAAGUCUUCCUUUUGUAUAAGGUUUUAUUAUACAGUCUGACAACAUUGUAUGUCAUAUAUGUUUAAGGUGAAAUGUUUAGUCUGACAUUAUAUAUUGCAUAUAUUUGAUUACUAAUGUAUAAUUUUAUUACAUAAAUUUUAUUAUACAUUGCUUUUCAUACUAUAUUAUACAUAACAAGUAUUGUAUGGUUUAGUUGAUAUUAUACAUUUAGGGAGUUAUACAUUUCAUUUUUUUAUACAUUGGAUGUUCUUAUUACAUAUAAGAAGCAUUUGGAACUGAGUGUGUUAUUAUACAUUUAUGAAGUCUUCCUUUUGUAUAAUGUUUUAUCAUACAUUCUGACAUUUAGGGAGUUUUCAUACUGUAUAAAGUGACAUUAUACAUCUGAAUAGCUGAUAUGUCAUACAUUUUUGUAAGGUGAACUAGUUUAGUACGCAACAGUAUACAUUAUUGCAUCUCAAACAUUUGUAACUUUUUGUGUAAUUAUUGUAUUAUUUUAUUAUUUUAGGGCAUGAAAUACCGUAUAAAUAAAGUCCCGGAGCACCCUUUGCAUAUUUUGAGCUCAUGCAAUCGUGAUUUUGCUGAAGACAUAAAGUCUUAUUUUGGAGAUGAUAUUUUUAGGACAUUUAGAAAUACGUUAUUUGGGAUUUGCUUGACCUUCCGUAGUGCAAUUGGAUUAGGUAGAUUUCAAAAUGUAUCCUUAUGCUAGAAAUCCAAUAAUAUAUUAAGGACGAGAUACAUGUGUGUGUGCAGGGGAAGAUUUUAAAAUUUAUCAUGAAUUUGUCAUUAUCAGCGGCCUGACUGCACCGAUGAUAUUGAUGAGUUUAUGUAUACUUCAUCAUCAAAAUCCCCUUUGAUUUUAAAGUAUUUUUCUAAAUCUGGAGGUGAUAUAACUAGGUCAAAACUGAUAACACGUGUGAAGAUAGGAAAUUUCAAGAACUCUGAAUAUGCUUUGAACUUUGCGAUAUUAUAGUUUGUUCAUACAUUCAUGUUAUCUCAGCAUAAAGAAGCACCAAUUAGUGUAGCUCACUUUCAAAUGAACGAGGAUGGUCGGUACAUACACUUUUCAUGGGGAAAGAUAAUUUUUAAAAAGUUGAUCAACUCAUGGCGGCAAGAGUUUAGAGUCGUAAAGCAGUUAUAUUCUUUGGGUGGAAUGCCCCACGCUCUAAAUGGCUGGAUAUUUGAGUGUUGCUCUUCAGUUGAUAAAAAAAUUGCUUUGCGACAUGAAAACAUCAUCCCAAGAACACUUAACUGGUCUAUGGAGUGUACAAGGUCUAAGUAUAAAUCUUAAGUAAGGUAAUUAUAUAACAUAUUAAAUAUUUUUAUUUUAUACUCAACUUAUCGAAGUUUUAAUAUUUCAUUUUAAAAAUAAUUUUUGCAGUGUUCUUUCAAGAAUUUACAACCUACAAGUGAAGAAGUUCGUACUUUAGAUUUGUCUUUCUCUGAGGAUUUUGUGAUUUUUGAUCCAAUAUCUGCUGCUUCCACUUCUGUUGCUGCAACAAUGCAAACAUCAGGCGAUGAAGAUCAAUCGCGUGUUGUCACUGCAGAUGACGAUUAUGAUGAUUUCCCCACUGGACCUACUCAGGAAUUUCUAUAAAAGGCUCAUUUGGCUACACCUUUAUCAACUAAACAGCCAUCCAAAAGAAGUAAAACAGUUAUGUUUCAGGAAGUUAGUUCAGCUGUGACAAAUGCACAAAAAUCAACAAGUUCUCAUUCAGUACGUCACGUGUCUGGUAUGUUUUCUAAAAUACAAUAACAAUUAAUAGAUAAGCUACAAAUUCGUGUGUCUGAUUUUGAUCAUCGUCAUCAAGUAGAAAUUGGUGUGUCUCCUGAGUGCAAACAAAUCAAGUCUGUUCCUUCAUCUUCCACAACGCCUGAAGGAACUUCUAAGUCUAAUUUAGAUAUGGAGCAGAUAAAGAGUUACAUCAAAAUAUAUGUAAGUUAAUUUUCUCAUUCACAAAUUAUUAUUUUUGAAAAGUAUUACUUGUUUCUAAUAUCUUAUUGUUUAUCUGUACGUUAUAAGGUUGAUAAGCAAAUUGCUGAGCUGAAAACACUAAUCUCCAAUAUACCUGCUGAGGUCGUUAAAGCAUUGAAGAAAGAAGAGAAUAAAGAAUCUCCGGUAUAAAAUAAUUUUCCUUCAAAUUUUUAAUACUUUGAAUAAAUACUCAUACAUUAGAAUUAUUCAUGAUAUAUAGGAGGAGAAAAUUGUUCAUCAACGAGAAGGUGUACAGGGAGGCUAAAAAAUAAAUGACAGUAUUAAUAAGAAUGAGUUGCGGGCAAUUUUAAUCUACAUUACAUUGUCAUGUUACUAUUAAUCUGUAUAACUCCAACAUCUUAACCUUUUUUUGUUUGGUUCUUAUACAGCAUGAAGAUGAGUACACCAGACCAGUCAUUCACAUAACAAAUGAUGAACCAUCAGUAAUUGAAACUUUGGAAACAGAUCCAAGAUUGUGUCCACAUUCAUACUGAAUGUCCAACAAUAACUGAGGUUCAAUUCAAACAGAAAGUAUAUAUAUGAUAUGUAUAAAUAUGGUUAUACAUUCACAACCAUGCAUAAUAGUUAUCAAAUUAUAAAAAAAAUAUUUUCAUUCAUCAAUAUAUAAAUUGAAUUAAAUGUAUAGACAUCCUAUUGUCAAUUUUUUGUAGGAUGAGCACAUGAAUGAUAAAGAAGAGGGACAUGAAGAAGAAUCGCAAAACACUCACAGUAAUAAUAUGAAAGAUAUAUCGAUACAUUUUUGUCUCUCAUGUUGGUUUGUUCUUAGAUGAGAUGAAUCUCAAUAUUUUAAAACGCUUUACUUGUAGGCUGUUACAGUAUUAUUAUGCAUACAUUUGAAUGUAUAAUGAUAUGUUAUACAUUAUUAAUACUGAUAGUCUAUUUGAGAAAAUGAAUGUUCUUUAUGAAUAUCCUCAUACAUAUCUAUGUUACUUACAAUUAUUUAUGUAUGAACAUUGCUCAAUAACAACUCAAACAAAGUGUGAAUACAUUCAUACGCACUCCUUACAGACACCAUCUGCAAAUCAGUAUUAUAAUAUUUUUCCCUUUCCAACUAGUGGUUACUUUGAUUAAAUGUUCAUACCUUCUAAUUAUCACUUAAUUUAGGUUGACCUUAUCCCUGAUAAAGAGCAAGCUGGUCUUGAAGAUUUGGUGAAAGAACAUGGUCCUGUGAUGGUAUCUUUGUUGUUAUUUUUUCAAAACUCUUGCUGGUUUAAUUUACAUCGUAAUACUAUCUUAUUUUGAGACUAUUUUAGUUUCAUUAUACAUUCAUUUGAAUGUAUAACAUUAUGUUAUAAAUAAAAUCAGCACAUCACAAAUACAUAUGCAUUUGUUAUACAUUUCAAUUUCGAAUCAUCAGUAUAUAUUUUUUUAAUUAAACUACGUAUCACUUUGAAUAAGCUUUCAUACAUAAUAAUUGUUAAUGAAUGUAGGAUGAGCAUAAUGCUGCAGAAGAAGCAGGUUGUAUUGAAGAAUUGAAUAUACAACAUAGCCCUGAUAUGAAAUAUUUAGAGGUACUUUUUUGGUUGUUCAUAUUAUUUUUUAACUCAAAACUUACAUGCUUAUACAUUCACACCCAUGCCUAAUACAUAUCAAAUUAUAUAAAAAACUUUUCAUUCACAAUUUUAUGACUUUUCAAAUCACCAUUACAAUUUUUUUUCACUGAACUAUGUCUUACUUUGAAUAAAUGUUCCGACAUUCUACUUAACUCUUAAUUUAGGAUGAGCUUAUGCUCGAUAAAGAGGAAACUAGUGUCGAAGAUUUGGGAAAAGAGCACAGUCAUGUGAUGAUACAUUUCUUGUUAUUUUCUGUUUUACUCCUGCUGAUUUAACACUUCAAAUCUAAAUGCAUAGACUUACGACACAUUACUAUUAAAAAAGGAUCAUAAUAUUCCUAUAUGCAUAUCUAAAAUUUUCAAUUUUCAUUCUACAAUGAUUUAUUUUUGUUUUGUUACUUCGUAUUAUGUACUUCUAUUAUUGGUCUUUAUUAAUUAUAGCUCAUAAUGAAUAUUUAACAGUAUAUGAACUGAUUCUACCUAAGUAUAGUGGAUUAUGUAUAAUGUACAUUGCAAUACUAUCCUAAUUUGGGAAUGUUCCAGCUUCAUUAUACUUUCAUUUAAAUGUAUAACAGUAUGCUAUACAAUCAUACAGAGUAUUAUACAUUCAUAUUCAAUUUUUACAUAUACAGAUUUCAAAUCACCUUAACAUAUUUAUUUUCUUACAUAAUGAUUUUAUUUAAAAUAGUAUGAUCAUAUUGUCGCAAAAGAAUCACGUUGUGCUGAAGAAUUGAACAAACAUCAUAGUACUAAUGUGAAGGGUUUGUAAAUAUUUUUUUGAUAGUUCAUAUGUUGUUUUUUAACUCAAAAACUAUCUACAUAAAUGUAGCUUCUGUUUAGGUAUAAUUAACGUCAUACAUUAAUAUGUUUGCUUUUACACAUAACACAUCAAUAUUUUUUCUGUAGGAUGAUGUCAAUGCCACAAUAAUGGAGUCUGUUCAAGAUGCUUUAGAUGUACUAUUAUUUGAGUUGUCAAUACCAUCAAAUACAAAUAAAUUCAAUGUUGUUACACCAAAUAUAGUGACAAAAAAUGACCACUUUCAGAUAGUCAGUUUCCACCUGAUUUUUCGGAUGCUCAAGUAAGGGAGCUUAAAGCACCAAAACACGUGAAGUCAAAAAAUCACCUGUAAAAAGAGAUCGAAAAAAGUCGAAGAUUUUUAGGUCACCAUACAUCAUAAAAUUUGGAUCGAGCUCUAAAGAUAAGGGCAGUUCUGCUAAUGAAGAGAAGCAAAUGUAUGCUUUUGAUAGUUGUACCAUUUACGAAGAUUUGUCUAAUCAAUUGAUUAGUGAUUAUUCAUAGUGACUUGAAAUUGGGUUACUCAAAUAUCAUGUUUCCAAGUAAGUUAUUUAGAUAGAUUUCUAAAUUAUUAAAAAUAGUACAGAAGAAUAAAUCUUGGAGAAGUCUAAUCCUUGAUUAUGUUACAGGAAACAAACAGACAAUCACUAUCUAAAAAAUGCUCCAGGAUUAGGUUAUUCUUUAUUGGACUUUGUUGUUGCACAAGCACUCUCAAAGAAUUGGUUCUACUUGAUUUCGCAACACGUGUUGGAAUGAUGAGGUAAAUUAAACUAAACUAUAUCAUGCUUCUUUAAACUUUUACUAAAAAUGUACUCAUUAUUACGAAAUAAAUAGAAUCUAAUAUAUGAUUACAUAUCAUACAUGUGGUCUCAUGUAUAACCACAUUUUAAACAUGUCAUGGUAACAGAUCAUACAUUCAUUAUCUUUGUUGAAAACAUAAUAAUAACUAUAACAUAUGACUUUGUUUUAUGAUUACAUAUUAUACAUGUGGUAUGAUAUAUAAUCACAUUUUAUACAUGUUAUGUUAACAGAUCAUAUACUCAUGUUCAUGACCAAUACAUAAUAAUAACUAAAAUAUAUGCCUUAGAAUCAGUUGUAUGGUUAAAUAUCAUACAUGUUGUGUGAUUUAUAAUCACAUCAUAUAAAUGUAAUGAUACUAGAUCACUAAUUCAAGUUCUUAAGCAAUACAUACUAAUAACUAAACAUAUGCAUUUUUAUUUCAGUGUUUAACAUAAUCUUACCCUUUUUAACAUGUAGCACUUAGAUGUGAUAUUCUACCAUUUGACAAAAAAAUCAAAGUUGCAACAGUGUGAUACAUAUAGAUAUACGAAAAUCAGCUGCUUCUUCAAAACAUAUAUUGAAAAGACAUACGAACGAUAUUUUCCAACAGUUAAAGCAGAGCAGAUAUCCACGCAAGAAAACUACGUAAAAUUCGUUGCUUGUUCUUCAAAUGAAAUUGAUAUAACAAAUAUAAUUAAUGGAUUCUGUAAUCCUGCGAAUUUACCAUGGCAUUUGGUUGAUGAGGUAUAUGUUCCUGUUAACUGUGAAAAAGAAUAUCACUGGGUAUUGACUGUAAUUGUGUUAAAGAAAAGAACGGUACGUGUGUAUGAUUCAUCGUCAAGCAAAAGAAAAAAUGAACCACCAAUCGAAAUACGAAAUUAGCAGCCAUGCUGCGUACUUACUUGUCGGACAGUGAUGUUUUUCAAAAGACUGAAAGAAUUGACUGGUCAACACUUAAAGCGUACGAAGGGAAGCUUGGUCUGCAAACUGGAGAGAUAAGUCACAACCCAUUUGAUAUUGAAUACGCCAAAAACAUUCCACAACAAGCGUCUGAUAGUUUGUAAGUGUCUUUUACUUUUUAAAUUUUAACAUAUAUAAUCAUGGUAAAUUAGUUAAAGGAAUGGUUCUUUCAUUUUUUUAAAAUAUCAGGGACUGCGGGGUCUUCGUGGCUGCAUAUGCAGAAAUAUUGAGUGAAGGGCAGCAAGUCCAUUCAUGUGAGUUUGAAGGUUGCAAGUCAACGUGCAUGAUAUGCUUCGUUACUAUGGCAUUACGGAGUGAUGAAGACAAAGAAAGGUUAUACGAGUGAUAUUGACGAUCCUCCUCGGCCAAAAAAUACUUUUGUCCAAUCACCUGAUGAAAGUGCAAUUGUUACUUUGGAGUAGCUCCUUCUAAAAAUAUUCUAAUUGCUUUUUUAGUUGUUUCUGCUAAAUAGUUAUACACAGUAAUAUUUUUUUGAAUGUUGAUUUUUACGCAACAUUAUAUGGGUGGCAGUUUUUGUUCUACUACAUUUACAUUUACAUAAACUCUAUUGUGCUUAUUCUAUAUUGUUUGUUAAUUAGUCACUUUGCCAAACAUAAUAUUACCAACACUGUAUAACAACAAUUUAUAUAUUAAUGAAUUAUAUAUAGGUAAAACAUUGUGUUUUUUUCCAGCAUUAAAGAAGUUAAUAUUAUAUUAUGAGUUAAUUAUACAUUGAACAAGUAUCAAUUUAUUUUUGAUAAAUUUAUUAUAUAACAUCAUACACGUUGACACUCUUUCAUUGCUGAAUUGAAAACAGCUAUGGCAUUCAAAAAAAUUUAAGAAGAAUAACAGCAGAUCGUAAAUUCUAAACAAACAAAAUGUAUUAGUCAUUUGACGUAAUACUGAUAAGAAAAUAAGAAAAAGUUUUAAUACCAUACAUACAUCUUAAUGUAUAAUCUAUACUCUUAACACAAAAUUCUUUGCUUUAUAUUUUGCUAGUUCUUAUGUUUUUUAAAAUCAUUUACUUUAAUAUCAUACAUGUUGUUAAUGUAUAAUAGUAUAGAAUACAUAAUAUAUAUAAGACAGGUUAAUGUUAAAUAUAUUAUACAUUAUAACUACAUAUUACUACGUUACAAUAAUGAGCAGUAAAGUCACAAAAUAUAAUAAUUCAAAACUGUAUUAUUUGGUUGCGAAAAUAUCAAACAUUAAGUAAUAAUUAAACAUCACAUAACAGUUAAAAACAUAAAAUAAACUUUAACAAGUAUCAACAAAAUAAAAAAAAAUGAUGUUCUGUAGUUAUAACCAAACGAACAAUUAGCAUUUAGAACAACAAAAUAAAAUCUGUAACUUUUUUUGGGGAAGAAACCUCACGUCCUAUGGUUGUGGCCUGCACGCCUGCAUUUACUGUAAUGAUUUGAACUUAUAAGUGAUUCACUAGAUUUCAAAUGCCUUCCUUUCUUUGGCCUCCUAGGAGGUCUUUUGUAUUUGGGUGGCAAAACUUCGUCGGCAUCAACAAAAUGUGAAACAAUCCAAUCUUUCAUCUCUGGCAUAGGAACUAUGGGGAGUUCAUAUGUCUUGACAAUGGUGUUUGGCCUGUACAAUUCUGAACAGUAACGUCCAUACUCUUUUAAAUCAAUAUUUAUACUCUUCAAAAUGCUAUUGCGUGUGCACAUGAAAUUUCAUCAAUUUGAUACCGACAACAGUUACACGUGUCAUGAUCAAUAUCAAUAAUGUACCUCCUUCCUGAUUCAUACACACAGUACAGAUAACUACCAGCAGCCUUAACCUGUUAACAAUGAUUAAUUUUAUACAGUAAAAAAUAUAUAAAUUAAUAACAAAUAUAAAGUAGAUUCAACUAUCAUAAUACAUACCAUCAUCCGUAAUGACUUAACUCCAUUAUCAGUUAGAAUUUCUUGAAAUCUUCUCCCAAACGUUGUGUUUGUAUAAGAUGCAAUUUCACUGUUCUUACAAUUCCAUGCAGCGAAUAGAAUCUUAACUUCUUCAAGGAAAUCUAAAAUAGGAAGUACUCUAGCCUCUACCAAACAACAGUUAAUACAUUCAACUAUAUUAGAGGUCAUCAUUCUACCUUUAUUAAUAGGAGAGUGACAUCGAGAUCAUUUAUCAUAUCCAGCUUUUUCCAGAUAUUCCUUAACCCUUGGAUCAACCUUUUCAACCUUUGACACAAUGUAAUCAAAAUUUUCUUUUCUAUACGCUUUAGCCAUGGAAUAAUAAAGGUCACUAAGUCUAUCUUUGCUUUUUCUAAAAUAUUUAUAAAUAUUUUUUCAUAAAUGUCAAAUACAUGCAAGAUGGGGGACAUUAGGAUAAACAAUGCUCUCGCCCUUUAUGAUACACUCAUUUCGAUCCGAUACAACACACAUAUUGUCCCGUUUUCCAAAUGCUUCUUUAAAUUGAUGAAAAAAUUAAGUCCACGCAUUGUCAUUUUUUGAAUUCACAACACCAUAAGCUAAUGGAAGAAUACAUCCUAAACAAAAACAAACAAACAAAUUUAUAUGUAUAGUUCUAUAAUAUGUGUACACCACUGAACAGGUUUCUAAUUAUUUUACAUUUAAGUAAUACAUGACAUCAUACAUGUUGUCCCACCUUUAUCACUUAAUUGAAAACAAGUACAAAUAUAUAACAUCACACAUUUUAAUAACGUAUAACAAUACAUCAUACAUUGUAAAAAUACUGCUAGGAAAUUAUACAUUUAAUUAUUAGUAAAUGUAUGAGACAUUAAACGUAAAAUUGACAAGAAAAUAUUGAUAUUUUACAACAUCAUACAUACACCAUAACGUAUAAUCGCUAAUCAUACACAUAUCACACAAAUCAAAAUCUACUUAAGUUUUACUUAUUCUGUUUUAAAAUGAAAAUGCAAUUUAUAGAGUUGUUUAAACAGAAAGUAGCAUCUACUUUAUAAAAAAAAUUAAUAACACAAAAUAAAAGGCAUAAAAUCAGCUACUUGGUGAAGUACUAUAUGUACUCACUAAGCAAGUCCAAAUUUUAUUAUACAUACAUGGGCAACAUACAAUCAGCUAUAAUUCAUGCACAAUGCUGAAAUAUCAAAGAUGAAAAUUUUAAAGUAUGAUACCUGCACCAUCAAGAGUGCUCGCUGAUACAAACGUUCCUUGAUAUGGCCCGAUUAAAUGAGCACCAUCUACAACUACUAUUGGAUGGCAAAAUUUGAACCUCCUAAUCAUUGGAUGUAAGGCAAUAAAUAAGUAUUUAAACUCGUUAUCUAAUGUCUUAUCCAUCCGAAUGUAUGAUCCAGGAUAUACCUGGUUCAACAUAUAUAUAUAACGGGGCAUUUUUCGAUAUCCAUCAGCUGGUCCACCUCUAAGAAUCGCAAUUGCCUUUUCCUUUGCCCGUCAAGCCAUCAUGUAGUUAAUAUCAACACCAUAGACGACCUUCAUCUCUUCAAUUAUGUCUGUCGGUGUAUGUAUUCUCUUGUAAUUAAUUAACUUUGGUGCAGUAAAUUCACUGACAAAGGCUGUUGUUGCAACCAAAUUAUUCAGUAUUCUAUCACUCAGACUGCAAUUAUGUUUCGAAUCAAAUAUCUUUAUCGCAAAAAUUUCCGAAUGAUUCAUCGAAUAUGCCUUUAGAACACAUUUGCAAUCUUUGACACGGCAGUGUAACACAUAGCUGCAGUUACAUUUUAAAACAUGUUGUCAAUUUAUUAACGUACAUAUAAAUUCAAUAAUUUAAGUCAAAAUACCAUAAUUAAAUUGUUAUAGUUUUAUUAUACAUUCGAAUGAAUGUAUAAUGGCAUAUUAUACAUUGUAAAUAAAACUCCAUUUUGUGCAAACAGCAAAACCAGAAAUUGAAGUCAACAAUGAAACUCCAUUACCAAAGGCUAUUACAACACAACAACAUCCUUCACAACAUCUACAAAUAAAAAAUGAUAAUUUAUUUCAUACCUUUGUUUGUCAGAUCAUUUAGUAAAGGUGUUGAAGCCAUUCGAUAUCGCAUAUUUCGCCAUAACCGAUACCAAAGUUUGCUUAUCCUUAUAACGCUGGUUAACUUUUAUUUCAGUGUUCUUCAAAUUCCAGAACGUAUAAUGAAUAUUGAUUCUGAGUUUCAACAACAGUUAAAGCAACUGAAUCAGAUUCACUACCUUCAAUACACAUUACAACCCCAGUUUUACUAUCAAACUCGAUAUCCUUAAUCGAUUUAUUGAAAGUUUGUAUACAUAGCGAAAAAUUUAUAAUUCCAGAACCUUGUUUCUUCAACUCAAUAUAAACCUUCACUCCAUUAUCAUUUCUUAUGAUAAUUGGAGAAGAAUUACCAUCAACGAUGUAUUUUACUUCAAUUUUUUUCGUACAUCGUCAAUACCCAAUUCCAUCAUGAUUUUCGCAAUCAAUUUCAAAAAGUUAAUACUUUCUGAAAUAACAAUGGCAUCACUUUUGUAUGCUUUAAAACUUAUUUCUGCCUCCCAUACACCAGAAUGACGCAAACAUAUUGGGAUGUUCAUCUUUUUUCUCACAAGAAAUCACGAACAAAAUUUUUUUUCUUCCGAAUCGUAAAUCAAAAAAGAAGUCAAUUAGAGGUAAAGUUUAAGAGUUUUUUUUUUAAAUUCAAAUAUCAGUUACUAUUUUAACUCAUACAAUAAUUAACAUCAGGUAAUUAAAUAGCGUAAUUUAAGAAGUAGGGAUACAUUUACUAAUUCUCAAUCUCAUAAUUUUAGGUUAAUCAGAUUUAUGAUACAUUCAACGAACGUAUAACUACCAUCCGAAUGUAUGACAAUAUUUUACAAAAUAAGGAGAGAGAAAAUUUCAAGGGAGAUUAUGUAAAUAGUUUUACUUUAUGCGAUAUAUAUAUAUAUAUAUAUAUAUCUAUCUAUAUAUAUAUAUAUAUAUAUAUAUAUAUAUAUGUGGUUUAUACCGUCUAGAAAUGGUGGUGCAAAUAUACUCUUCGAUAUAGUCAAAUGUUUAGACUUAAAUGACGUAUUCAAUGACUCUUUUAGUGUACUAUCAAGUUUAAAUAAGAGGCCAGGACAAUCUCGUCAAUUUUCUUUAAAACUCGAGAAAAGUCUUCCAGAAAAUGACCUAACAAUACAACAAAAAAAAUUCUUCUUUCCUUGCUCUAAUAGAGUUUACAUUAUAUAUACAUUGAUGGCAUAAAAUAUUCAUAUAUUAUCAAUUCAUCUUUAAAAUGUUUAUAAUUAUUUAACUGCAUUUAUUUUUAUUACGUCUAAAAUGAUGAAAAUUUUAAUGAUGUUUUCCAUAGAAUCAGUCAGAAAAUGUCCGACGAGCCAAACUUCAACGAAUUUUCGAUCGGACACUAAAAAAGAUUUUCAUAUGACAAUUUUGUUCCACAAUAGGAUGUUUCUUGGGCACCGGCCGAUAUUUGUUACAUAUAACAACUUAAUUAUCUGCACACUGAUCUUUUAUGGUUAUUUACAAAUUGUAUAAAGGAAAAUUAUCUGUUCGAAUUUCGUAUAUGUAAAAAUAAAGAUCUUUUGUAUAAAGAACUUACGACGAAAGAUAAGAUUAUAAAAGAGUGCAAAACCAAAUCUUUCUUAUAAUUUAUUGCUAAUCUUUGUCAAGAUUAACAAUUAUGAAUUAGCGAAGAAUCUUGUUAUUUAGCUAAUAAUUAAUCCGUCCAUCGUUGUUUUCUAGCACUGAUAUUCGAGUUUUAAUAUCGUCCAAUUUGUAAUUAUUCCCCCCGUCUUCUCUAUCGAUCGAUGAGAUGGCUGCAACUGAACAAUUGACACCAUUAAAAUUCAAUGAGACACCAAUACAUCUCAUAGGCUAAGUCCCUUUUAUGCUCCGAAGGACGAUCACUUUGUCUAUGACUACCUUUCUAUACUUCAAACCGUAUGCUAAUUGCUUCCUAUUACAUGGUAUGAGACUUGUAAGAGUGACUCCUGCACCUAACUCAACCAAAAGCUAGAUCAUGGGGGAGGGGAUUGUCCAAUUACAUAUAAGUAAAUCGUCAGUCCAUUCUCCAAUUUAUAAUGUGAAACUUUCACCACUCUUAACAAGAUUGAUUUAAUGCAAGUUAUGAUUUAUUUACAAAUUUGUUCAGGAAAUUCCUACAUAUUAGAACUUAUUCCAGAAAUAUUCCACAACAACAAUAAUAACAUAUAUACUCAGUAAAUUUUCAUAAGUGGGGUUUAGAAAGUACAGUGUAAGUUGAUCUUACUACUAUCUCAUGGAGGUAGAGAGAUUCUUUCUAAAGAACCCUUGGCUAAGUGUACCAACUCCAAGUUAAAAAAAAAAAAAAAGAAACAAACAGUAAAAAAUUUUAUGGAUUAAUAAGUAAAGCAACGCAAAGCCUACAAAAAAGGAAGAAUAACAACAAGAAGCUAGAUAAUAAGAAAAAAUAUUUAAUUAGGUAAAGACCAUAGAAUAGUUACUUUAAAAUAAGAGGAAAAUUGAACUUUAUAGAAACAUUUUUUGUUCAACACAAUAUCAUAUGUAUUGAGUAUCAUACAGAACAUUACAUGACCAUGACCAACCAUCCAUUGGAACACUAUUGAAUGGCUUUAUUCAUACAAGUAAAAGUUCUAAAGUAGCAAGAUUUUUAUGGUCUUUGCCACUUACAUAACAAAGCAUUACAUUAAUAAUACAUAAUGAAGCACUAAUUAAUUAGUUCUGAGGUUUAGAUCCAGUGUCUUUUUCCAUGGCCUUAUAUUCUUCAUAGGUGCAGCAAUGUCCAUGGCAUUUAUAAUGACAUUUUUUAGGUUUAUAUCCACCAUCAACUUCUACUUCCUGCUGUGAUUCAGUGGCUUUUUCCAUGGCCAUAUAUUCUUCAUAGGUGCAGCAAUGGCCAUGGCAUUUAUAAUGACAUUUUUUCUUAGGUUUAUAUCCACCAUCAACUUCUACUUCCUGCUGUGAUUCAGUGGCUUUUCCCAUGGCCAUAUAUUCUUCAUAGGUGCAGCAAUGGCCAUGGCAUUUAUAAUGACAUUUUUUCUUAGGUUUAUAUCCACCAUCAACUUCUACUUCCUCGUGUGAUUCACUGGCUUUUCCCAUGGCCAUAUAUUCUUCAUAGGUGCAGCAAUGUCCAUGGCAUUUAUAAUGACAUUUUUUCUUAGGUUUAUAUCCACCAUCAACUUCUACUUCCUCGUGUGAUUCACUGGCUUUUCCCAUGGCCAUAUAUUCUUCAUAGGUGCAGCAAUGGCCAUGGCAUUUAUAAUGACAUUUUUUUUUAGGUUUAUAUCCACCAUCAACUUCUACUUCCUGCUGUGAUUCAGUGGCUUUUUCCAUGGCCAUAUAUUCUUCAUAAGUGCAGCAAUGUCCAUGGCAUUUAUAAUGACAUCCUUUGUGUCCUCCACCUUUAUUAUAAUGGUCACCUCCAACACCAUCAACGUCUACUUCCUUCGCUGCUGCAUCGAUGAAUUGAGAAUAUUAAAACUUAUGCAUAUGCAUGUACUCACGACUGAUCUUUGAAUUGAAAUUUCAAUUUAUGUGUAGUACUUUUCAUUUCAUUUCGUUAUAGUUUAAGAUAAUUCCUCUUACUAUUAUAUAUAUUUAAAUAAAUUCUUAGUUUCAAUAUAAUAUGUUUAAAUAUUUUGAAUUGAAAUUUCAAUUUAUGUGUCGUACUUUUUAUUUUAUUUUGUUAUAGUUAAGAUAAUUCCUCUUACUAUGAUACAUAUUUAAAUAAAUUUUUAGUUUCAAUAUGAUAUGUUUAAAUCUACAAGAUUCAAAGGAUAUUUUAGUAUGUUCUAAACACAAUUUAGUUUUGUUUAGCAAGGAUUGAGAAGUUUAUGCUAUAUUCUUUAAAUUCAGGCAUAGUAACUGAGAAGCAUAAGGAAUAUAUAUUAAGUGUCAUGAUCAAGCUAGUGUUAGUAAAACAUUAGGUUAUCAUCUCACAUUUAUAAAAACUUACAAAUUUUAGUUUGUGGUCUAAUCUCAGAAACAACUUCUCUAUCUUGCAAAGAUUGGAGUAACAUCAACUUACAUAUUCUAUAUAUCUUCCGUAGUCUCUACUUAUGAGAUUACACUGAAGAUAUAGUGUGUGAUUUAAUUUUAAAUUUUCAUAAAAUUUUCAGAAUGCUCACAUUGAAUAUAAUUUUAAACAGUGGUUUAAAAGUUCUAUUAAGUAGCAUAAACAAUAAAAAGAUGACCAUUUACUAAAAGGAAAAGCCGAUUAAAAUAAGAUAUUAUCUUCAAUUAAAUGCUAGGAGUAGAACCUGUUAAAAUACUAAUAGCAUUUCACAUGCUGGACAUAUAUUUACUAUGUCACUAAAUUAAGAGCGAUAAAAAACGUGUAAAGUAAUGGAUAAAGAUAUGUUAAUAUGGCUAACGUAGUAACAUCAAUAGGUUUUUUUUUUUUUUUUUUUUUUUCCGAAUGAAUUCAAUUACGUAAAAAGAUAAUGAAAGAUAAUACUUAC
This 35630-nucleotide long non-coding RNA is filed under the name Capsicum annuum. RNAcentral's name for it is "long non-coding RNA (CANN_LNC005762)". The record is from RNAcentral. Lineage: Eukaryota; Viridiplantae; Streptophyta; Magnoliopsida; Solanales; Solanaceae.